CGCCCAGAGAUCAAUCACACACAUAAGUCACAAAUUAAAUACCAUCAUUGCAGUAUUUACAACAAACGUAGUUAUUACAUCACAAAGUCUGGCAUAACAGCGGAAAUAUAAAUAUGAUAAUCUAAGAUAACUAUCUCAUGGCCCUCACACAGGGAAGGUCGACUGGUGAAGCACAAGCCUAAUAGUCCUCCGGAUAGUCCUCAUAGCUACCACCAUCUGUUACCC
RNAcentral lists this long non-coding RNA (225 nucleotides) under Sorghum bicolor (sorghum). RNAcentral describes it as "long non-coding RNA (SBIC_LNC008016)". The record is from RNAcentral. Lineage: Eukaryota; Viridiplantae; Streptophyta; Magnoliopsida; Poales; Poaceae.